This 801-nucleotide long non-coding RNA is filed under the name Mus pahari (shrew mouse). Its description in RNAcentral is "lncRNA (MGP_PahariEiJ_G0005530.1)". The record is from RNAcentral. Lineage: Eukaryota; Metazoa; Chordata; Mammalia; Rodentia; Muridae.
GCCGCCACCAGGCAGCUGGCAGCGCGACCCAGCCACGCACUGGGAGCGCGCCCUCUCCCCAACUUCUCACCCUCGUCCUGGGUUCCGGGCCCCAGGCCCAGAGACUAGCAAACAGAAAGAACUUCAAGAUUACAAAUAUCCGUCUCAUUUGAUGCGGAAUUACUCGUGGACAGAUAAGAAAAGUGCUUUUGAUAUCAAUAACCUGAGGCAAGUGAAGUGGAAGUUUCUGGAUAUGUCAGGUGAUGCAGAUUUGACUCACACAGUCUUUUGCUGAUUCAGACUCAAGUGCUAUUUUGCUGAGGCAAGACCCCUGGGAGGACAUAUGAUGUCUGAAGAGAAUAUAAAUAGGACUCAACGGAUAGUGAUGGAGUGCUUGCAUAGCUAGCUUUGCAAUGCUUUGGUGGUCUCAGUCUUCCUCUUCACUUCAUGGAGAUUGGUACGUCAGAUAUCUUCUCCUGUCAUCCCUGCUGGACCUAGUCACUCCUGUUGACUCCUGACAAUUUGGUGGAGGCCUGGCAGUUUCUGCUGGACUGUGCCACUGCUGCUGAGUCAUGCUUGAUAUCCUGACACUACUGAACUGGAAUGCUGGUAUCCUACAACGGAGGUUGGAAUUACCUCAAGGAACUACUUCUAAACAGUGCUACCAAGCUGGCGUGAUUUUUCCAUGGACGUAAUAGAACCCUGUUUCUGUCAAUUUAUAAGACAUAUUUGAUUUGCUUGUCUUCUACCCAGUGAAGCACUAAGAAGCAUAUCAUCUACUGUAUGUAAUUAUGUUUUCUUUUAUUAAAAAAUUUAAAUGGU